RNAcentral lists this long non-coding RNA (298 nucleotides) under Manihot esculenta (cassava). RNAcentral describes it as "long non-coding RNA (MESC_LNC001173)". The record is from RNAcentral. Lineage: Eukaryota; Viridiplantae; Streptophyta; Magnoliopsida; Malpighiales; Euphorbiaceae.
ACAAACAAUACACAUCAAGGAUGAAUUUGUCACCAAUAGCCCUCUACAUAUAAAUCUCAUAUCAUAAUAAGUUCAGCAAUGCUCUAUGCCAGGGGCGAUACGGCCACGCCUGGACUUCACAUACUCUAUGCCAGGGGCGAUACGUCCACACCUGGACUUCUCUUACUCUAUGCCAGGGGCGAUACGGCCACGCCUGGUCUUUCCAUCUCAUAUCAUGUCAUACAUGUCAUAUCGUGUCAUAUCAUGUCAUACUGAGGGCUAAUGGAUCAUCCAAUAUCCAUCCACAUCUUCAUCAUCG